Molecule: non-coding RNA, 2510 nt
Organism: Heterocephalus glaber (naked mole-rat)
Lineage: Eukaryota; Metazoa; Chordata; Mammalia; Rodentia; Bathyergidae
Source: RefSeq, a predicted model, not a curated record
AUCCUACUCUUAACCUCUGUUGUUCCUAGAAUUCAUUCUUCCAUUUUAGAGAACUCGAACUCAUGUUUCAGAUACCUAGCAGGUUUGGGAGUUACAUCUCUUCCCCCUAUAUCAAUCCUAGUAUAGUACUCAGAAGGAUGAUCAUUACGAAUUUGAUCAUUACUGAGUUCAAGGAUGGUUGUAAAGAGUUCGAGACCAGCCUGAACUACAGAGUGAGACCCUGUCUUAAGAAACAAAGAACCAAGAUACAUCCUGUAAUGGUACAAGGUCCUAAUAAUGAAUGUAAUUGUAUUGUAUACCUAAAAUGUACCAAUAAUAAACUAAAUAAAAAAAAAAAGAAACAAGCUCACAAACAAAUCAAAAGGGAAGUGAAAUGUCUCCUAUUUAUGUCUAAUGAGUCAGACAUUAUAUCUGUGUAUCUGUGGAAAUGCCUUUUGUCUUUCUCCCUCUUCAUUUUCAUGUCCUCCUAUAGUAGUGCCCACGCAUCACCUCUCCCAUAGAAGACUGCAGUGACCUCGUAAUUGAUGUGUUUUCCUGGUAUCCAGCUCCAUACCACUGACAGGGCCAUCUUCUCAAAACUCUUCUCUCUGUUCAUCUUUCCUCAGCUGUUCCAAAACAACUCCCAGAAUGGGUCAGGACAAUUUUCUUUUGUCUCUUACAAGGCCAAGGUUAACUUUUCUUGGGCUCUUGCUCAUUUCCAACACCUCAAAGCAACUUUUAGUUUAAGCUGUUACCAUUUCCUGGAGCUCACCUGGGUCCCUGUUUUCUCUCCCUUCUCUCAUUUGAGGACAAUAGCUGUUGGUUUGGUAGUUGAUUACAUGUUAAAUAGUUAUCUUCUUUCUCAUGUGUCAAGAAUUUUAUACUGCACAAGUAAUGGGUAUAUCUUCAUGUGACAUACUACAUUAGUCAGCACAUGACAUCAGAAAAAUACUAUUGAAUUGAUUGUAUCUAAAUAAUUAUCAUGGACCUAUUUAAUCUGACAACUCAUUACCAAAGCUUCAAGAUGCUGAAAGUUAAAUCAGGCCAUUGGUUCUUUUCCUGAACCUGGUAAAUUUUCUAAAUCAUCUUUACCCUUUUUUAUUUUUUUUUCACUUCAGAUUAUGUGAUCGUGUGAAAAUAAUUUAACACCAUAAUGUCUUAAAUAGAAUAUGAUGGUAAACUUAGAUAAAACCCCCAACUUAAAUCCAUGUGUAUUUAUUUGCAAUGAAAAGAAACAUUUCCAGGUUAUUAUCAUUUUAAAAAUUACUUCUGAGUCUCCAAACAAGGGUUAUUAAAAAUAUAGGAAACUUAUUCAUACCUCCUCUUACUCUACCACCUAGGAAAAUCUCUUUUAAUCUCUCUGAACAGAUGAGAUAAAAUAAAUUAGAGGCCCAUGUGCUUUUGCACAUUUAAUUUUUAAAAAAUAUAAGUAAAUUUAUCCCGAUUCCACAUAUACCAAAUAUCAAUUAAAGUGCAAAUAGAGAGAGAAAUUAGAUCGAGAUCAAGGGUUUUUCUCCAGUCCACAAAAGGGCCACAUCCAAUAGAACUGACAAACACUGAAUAUUUCUGUGAGCUGCAUUAUUUCAGAAGUCCAUGACAUAGUGUAUCGAUUGGGUCUGACCUCAUUAAGAACAGUACUGAUCACAGUACUGGUCUACCUUUAGUUUAAAAGGACUUUUAAAAAAAAUCCUAUUUGACUUCCAUAGAAACUCACUGAUAGGGUUGACAGGUUUUUCUUACUCCCUAGCCCUCUUCUACUGAAACUUUUGACUCUAUUGCUCUCUGCAGCAGCAAGGCUGGGGUGUAGGCUCUCUGACCAGGGCCUGGCUAGGGCUGAAGCCCAGCAUGAGUCUCUGGAAGGUCCUGACCUUCAGAGGCAGCUAAGCUCUUCUGCCCCUUGCCCCUCUCUCUUCUCUCCACAGCUUAUUUCACCCCCCUGAGCCAUGCCGUCCUCACUCCCCCAUUACUUUUUAAGAUAUAAAACUAUGCAGAAUCAGGUAUUUCCCUACCAUUGGGCUGGCAGGCUAUGGCAGCGAGAGCCAGGCUGUUCUGCUGGCGGCAGCAACAAAGGAAGGUUCAUGGCUGGAACUCAAAACUCACUUCCCCAUGGAAACUGUGGUGUACUGUUAGGUACAUUCUAUAAUUUGUUUAGAACUUCAGAUGAGAUGCAUGGCUCAAAUGGACUUUGGUCAGUUCUCCUGACUUGUACUGAAAGAUGGCUCUGAGUUCCUAACAAUCAUCCAUACAUUAUCUUCAUACAGAGGGAGCCUCAGGGGAUAAGCCUAAAUUGUUUGUCUGCUGUGGAUCCCAUUGAGAGGCUGUGCUCACCCCUCAAGGCUCCUGAGCUGUGAGGGAAGCCAGGAUUCCUGAGAGUGAGCAGCCCCAAAGGGAAAUGACAGGCCUGAGGGCUGCCACAAAGUAAGCAGUUGUUCUCUGCAAUGCCCUUCCACCAAGAUGUUCCUGCCUAGACCCAGCCGGUCAUGGGCUAAACUUCUGAAUUUGUGAGCCCUAAUAAACCUCUCUUAGCUUUA